UGGACCAGAAGUACUUCUGCUCCACUUACAAGUCCACCGGGGAGUGUGCUGGGGGCCUCCCCUCACCCUCCCCAGCUCAGCAACUGGUGCCUCCUGGAUCAGGAGGGCACCCAGGGUCCCCCUGCAGCCGAUUGUCAAGGGGGGGGGUGCAGGGGCCUCCCAUGCAUGCUCCCUGGCAGACCCGGAAGUGUACUGGAAGUACUUCCCACUUCCAGGUUCACUGCCGAGCAUGUGGAGGGCCCCCCUGCACUCCUGUGGGACGUUCCAUCCACCCCAGCAUCACAGCAAUCAUGAGUUUGGCUGGUACCUUGAGGAGACAGGAAAAGCAGUGGAAGAUCCACACUUUCUAGAGGAGAACAAUUUCACACCUCAUCACUGUAAACCUGACGGUUGGCACAACAGGCACUGGAGUGAUGGAUGGAUGAUCUGCUGUGCACUAAUUAUUUUUAUUGUAGGUUUUCCACCAAACAUUUUGGGAGACUAGAGAGUGGUUGCCUUCAAUUGCGCCACUGCUUUAACUGAGCCUGAGACAAGCAGGAAUACACUCCCAGCUCAAAAUGUUAUCAUUUACAUUAGUUUUGACUGGAAAAGCUUUAAACUCUGUUAUCCUCAUAUUAUGAAUUCCUGUGGAAAUGAAUAUUGUGAGAGAGAGAAAAUAAAUACAUUUUCCUACCUGA
This is a long non-coding RNA of Alligator mississippiensis (American alligator), 677 nucleotides long. RefSeq lists it as uncharacterized. The transcript is spliced from 2 exons. NCBI's taxonomy places the organism in Eukaryota, Metazoa, Chordata, Crocodylia, Alligatoridae. The record is from RefSeq and is a predicted model, not a curated record.